Long non-coding RNA from Ficedula albicollis (Collared flycatcher), 2727 nucleotides. NCBI's taxonomy places the organism in Eukaryota, Metazoa, Chordata, Aves, Passeriformes, Muscicapidae. The record is from Ensembl.
CCCCCCCCCCCCCCCCCCCCCCCCCCCCAGGAGAUAUCUCCUGGAGGGAGGAUGGGCUGUGGGAAGAUAAAGAUGAUUGCCCAGCUGGUUUAAAGCUGGCCCAUGAGCAGAUAAUGUGUGCCAGGAGAUCAGGGGCACUGCCCCAUGGCUGCAGCAGAUGGGACAGAAUCCACAUUGCUGGCCACAUCAACCCAACACAUUAGCCAAGGCUCUGCCCCACAGCCUCGCUCCUCCCGGCUCUGGGCCAGUGCCAGCCCCUGCAGCCAAAUCUGCUUUGUUUUCCUGGAAAGGCAGCACUUCCCAGGGAUCUUGGAGGAAAUGAUCCCCUGGAAGUGGGUGUUCCACCCCGUUCAGCAAGGUUCAGCUAGUGCAGGUAGGGGCUUCUGCCCCCUUCCCUGGGAGAGGAGUGUCCAGGCAGGAAUUCCCAGCAGGAAUCCUUGGCAGGGCUGGUGCCAUGAGCAGGAGGUUCCUGCAGUCCUUGCAGGAGCUGCAGCUUGUGGCAGUGACAUUCCAUCUGCAGGCCCUGGCAGCACCCCCAGGGGUCCCAGGCCAGGGGGGUGGGUGUUCCAUGUUUUGGGAGUGGGCUCCAACACCCCUCUGAGCUGUUCACAGCUGGGGCUGAGCUGUUCACAGCUGGGGCUGAGCUGUUCUCCACAGCUGGGGCUGAGCUGUUCACAGCUGGGGCUGAGCUGUUCUCCACAGCUGGGGCUGAGCUGUUCACAGCUGGGGCUGAGCUGUUCUCCACAGCUGGGGCUGAGCUGUUCACAGCUGGGGCUGAGCUGUUCUCCACAGCUGGGGCUGAGCUGUUCACAGCUGGGGCUGAGCUGUUCUCCACAGCUGGGGCUGAGCUGUUCACAGCUGGGGCUGAGCUGUUCUCCACAGCUGGGGCUGAGCUGUUCACAGCUGGGGCUGAGCUGUUCUCCACAGCUGGGGCUGAGCUGUUCACAGCUGGGGCUGAGCUGUUCUCCACAGCUGGGGCUGAGCUGUUCACAGCUGGGGCUGAGCUGUUCUCCACAGCUGGGGCUGAGCUGUUCACAGCUGGGGCUGAGCUGUUCUCCACAGCUGGGGCUGAGCUGUUCACAGCUGGGGCUGAGCUGUUCUCCACAGCUGGGGCUGAGCUGUUCACAGCUGGGGCUGAGCUGUUCUCCACAGCUGGGGCUGAGCUGUUCACAGCUGGGGCUGAGCUGUUCUCCACAGCUGGGGCUGAGCUGUUCACAGCUGGGGCUGAGCUGUUCUCCACAGCUGGGGCUGAGCUGUUCACAGCUGGGGCUGAGCUGUUCUCCACAGCUGGGGCUGAGCUGUUCACAGCUGGGGCUGAGCUGUUCUCCACAGCUGGGGCUGAGCUGUUCACAGCUGGGGCUGAGCUGUUCUCCACAGCUGGGGCUGAGCUGUUCACAGCUGGGGCUGAGCUGUUCUCCACAGCUGGGGCUGAGCUGUUCACAGCUGGGGCUGAGCUGUUCUCCACAGCUGGGGCUGAGCUGUUCUGCACAGCUGGGCUCCCCCAGUAGAUCCAUGGCUGAAUCCCUGGGGUCUCCUGGUUCCCUUUUCCUGUGUUCCUGUGGAGCUGCUGAACCAGGGCCCGACUAUUCCAUGGGUUUUGCUGAAGGAAUGCACUUGUCCCAGUAUGAGCAGAAUGUUCUGGGCCUGUCUGACCUCCAGCCAGGACUCCAGCCUGUGCCAUGGCUCCAGGAGAGCAGUGAGCAGUGCCUUCCUCAGGGGCCAGGACUGGGACCAGUGCUGGGAAACACCAGUGACAGGGCCACUGGAGCCAGGACUGGCACUGGGAACUGUCCCUGUUGGUGACAGGGCCACUGGAGCCAGGACAGCCCCACACAGUGCCAGGACAGGGAGCUGGGGCUGUGUCACACCUGCAGGGAGGGAUGCAGAGGCUCCUGCACAGCCUGGAGAGCUGGGACCUGAAAUCCCUGUGCCCUGGGCUGGGGCAGCAGGAAAGGCAUUGGGAUUCUGCCCCUCUGCCCCACUCAGGUGAGGCCUCACCUGCAGAUCUGGCCCAGCACAGGGAGCAGCUGGAGCUGCUGCAGAGAGCCCAGAGAGCUCUGAGCCAGGCUGGGAGAGCUGGGGGUGCUCAGCUGGAAAGGAGAAACUGCAGGGAGGGAGAGCACACAGGGAAUGGCUGCAGAGUAGGGUUUGAUGGGACCUUGGGAAUUAGGAAUUGUUCCCUGGGAGGGGCUGGGAUGGAUUCCCAGAGAGCUGUGGCUGUCCCUGGAUCCCUGGCAGUGCCCAAGGCCAGGCUGGACACCGGGGACAGUGGGAGGUGUCCCCAUGGCUGGGGUGGGAUUAGAUGGGAUUUAAGGGCUCUCCCAGCGCAGACAUUGUGUGUUUCCACGACUCCCCAGAGGGAUGAGGCUGCAGUGCCCCAGCCCCACGGCUCUGUGCAGGCGGGCAGCCCAGGUGAGCCUCACCUGCUCCAGCUCCUGCUCGGCGUACUUCUGGCGGCUGAGCUCGUUCUCGGUGCCCUCGCGCAGCUCGCGCAGCCGGUGCGCCUCCUGCUUGGCCAUGCUGAUCUCGUCCUGCAGCUUCUUCUCCAGGUGCACCUUCUCCACCUCCACCGAGCGGUGCUCCUCCUGCGCCUUCUGCAGCCUGAGGGCACAGGGACAGGCUGGGCUGGGCUGGGGACAGGGCUGGGGACAGGGACAGCUCUGCCCCCCCCCCCCCCCCCCCCCCCCCCCCCCCCCCCCCCCCCCCCCCCCCCCCCCCCCCCCCCCC